This 465-nucleotide ribosomal RNA is filed under the name uncultured bacterium. Its description in RNAcentral is "partial 16S ribosomal RNA". It matches the Rfam family "Bacterial small subunit ribosomal RNA", at positions 338 to 795 of the family's 1533-position model. The record is from RNAcentral.
CCUACGGGGGGCAGCAGUGGGGAAUAUUGCGCAAUGGGCGAAAGCCUGACGCAGCGACGCCGCGUGAGGGAUGAAGGUCUUCGGAUCGUAAACCUCUGUCAGCAGGGAAGAACGGUCACUGUGCUAAUCAGCAGUGAAUUGACGGUACCUGCAAAGGAAGCACCGGCUAACUACGUGCCAGCAGCCGCGGUAAUACGUAGGGCGCAUGCGUUAUCCGGAUUUACUGGGUGGAAAGGGGGCGUGGGCGGCAAGGUAAGCCAGAAGUGAAAGCCCGCGGCUCAACUGCGGGACUGCGUUUGGAACUAUCUAGCGAGAGUGGAGGAGAGGUAAGUGGAAUUCCUGGUGUAGCGGUGAAAUGCAUAGAUAUUAGGAGGAACACCAGUGGCGAAGGCGGCUUACUGGACUGUAAAUGACGCUGAGGCUCGAAAGCGUGGGGAGCGAACAGGAUUAGAUACCCCGGUAGUC